This 400-nucleotide unclassified non-coding RNA is filed under the name uncultured bacterium. Its description in RNAcentral is "contains 16S-23S intergenic spacer region". The record is from RNAcentral.
CCGGUAAGAAACCCUAAACCCCUUCCUUCUGUGUUUUUCUGUAUGUUUUCUGAGAUGAACUGAAUUCGAUAUGUGUUAGGGUUUCACCGUGCCGAUGACUUUUUUUCUGAGAAAGAGAUCGUCAUCCAUCGCGUGCCUUCGUUUUCCCUUCAUGAACCGGGGCAGGCUUUGGCGUUCUUGGAACUUCUUCUUCCGCCACUGGACUUGACCCAAUUAGUGUUAUCUAUUAUUAUUCACUUUCUUCCAUUUUUUUCCUUACUACAAAAAAAAAACGUGGUUCUUCUUCUCUCUCUGCGGACGAGUUUUCUUUCUCUUCGAUUCGUUCUGGUUGCUACAUUCUGAAGCACUUCAUAUUUCGCUUUUUCUUUUUCAUUUUCUUUUAUAUUAUUUGGAUGGCCAA